RNAcentral lists this long non-coding RNA (2018 nucleotides) under Marmota monax (woodchuck). Lineage: Eukaryota; Metazoa; Chordata; Mammalia; Rodentia; Sciuridae. The record is from RNAcentral.
UGGGGACUGACCCCAAGGGUGUUCUCCUGAAAUCCCCAGACCUAUGUUUGUAUUUGUUGACAUAGGGUCUUGCUAAAUUGCUGAGACAAGCCUUGAACUUGCAAUCCUCCUGCCUUGGCCUCCUGGGUAUCCAUGAUUAUAGGUGUGAACUACCACACCUCGCUAGGCCUAAGUACUUUUUAGACAUGAAUUUCUAUCAAGAUAUUCUUGGUACUGUAACAGAGUCUUACUUGAAUGGUCUUAUUCCAGAAAGCAUUAUUGGAGUAUUAUCUCCAAACUUGACAUAAGAUUGAGAAGUUGAUGAGCAUGCAUAUAUCCAAUGUGAGUUUGUGACUCCAUGGCAUCAUCAAUACAUAUGUACAUCAUAAAUAUACAUACACACACCCACCAGGGAUUGAAUCCAGAAGUGUUAAACCACUGAGUAUACCCCCAACCCUUUUUAUAUUUUAUUUUGAGACAGGGUUUUGCCAAGUUGCUGAGACAGGCGUCAAAUUUAGGAUGUUCCUGCCUCAGCCUCCUGAGCUGCCAGGGAUUACAGGUGUGUUCUACCAAGCAAGGCCAAAGCAUCGUGUUUCUUAUUCAGAGUAUAGGUGAGGCUUUAUCUUUAAACAUACUAGUCUCCUGGAAGAAAAUAUCACCCUGAUGCUUAUUCUCCAAAAUUGGCCAUCUGUCUUUUUUGGGGGAUGUGGGGAAGCCAACUUUGAUUUAUACAGAUUAAGAAAAUGGACUUAGCCUUAAGGUGUUGGUCAAUGUUUGAAUACAUUUUGUGUAAAAGAAACAUUUGUAACAUUUUUCUUCUAUUAUAAAAUGUAAUUCCUCUCUGGGCUUGGUGGCACAAGUCUGUGAUCCCAGCGACUCAGGCAGCUGAGGCAGGAGGAUCACAAGUUUGAGGCCAGCCUCAGCAACUUAGACCUUUUCUCAAAAAUGGCUGCAAUGUAGCUCAGUGGAAGAACAUCACUGGGAUAAACCCCCAGUACUGCAAAUACGUAUAUAGAUCCUGGGUACUGCUACAGUACAAUUCAUACCUGCAAAGGAGUUAAGCAAGACAGACACUCCUUAUACUAACAGACACUGUCCUUGUUCUAAAAAGAGAAAAACUGAGCUGCUGUCAGUAUCCCACAGAUUGUAUAAUUUAAUUAUUGAAUGCUGUAAGCAUAAUUGUCUUUCCUCACAACAAAAGAAUACUUUCCUAUCUAAUAAAAGGAAUACAGAUGUCCAUCCUGCCCAAACUAAAGUAUUUCCUCAAAUGUCAUUCUUACUAUGAAUCCAGCCAAGGAUAUCCAACAUGCAAUCUCAACCUAGCCCUUUGACUUUUCUCUAUGUUCUGAUUAUUUUUUCUGUUUGUAAUAGGGUCUUGUAAAAUACUAUGCUACUUAAUACUGUAGAUGAAUUUCUGGUUGACUGAUUCCAUCAACCACAGUGUAAGUUCCAUGUAGGGAAAUUUCUUUUAUGCUGUGAUUCCUGAUACAUCCUACAUAUCUUGCAAUGUGCCCGAAACUUAUAGGGUAUCUAAUAAAUAUUUUUUGAACUGCUAAAUGAAUAGGACCACAGUCUCCAUUUGCAACACUCUGAAUCCUAUUUCAAACUCGGCUGACUUUCUGUCUCUUCCUUUAAUUUUACUACCCUUGGUGCUGUAAGAAAUGGGGGAAGAAGUCUUAUUUUGUAGACAAACACUUAAAUUCAGUACCAGUACUGGUUGGUCCUGUGCUUAGUUUUUUUUCAUUUAGUUGAUGUCAGUGAUCUCUGCUCUUCCUACAUGGAUAUUUUGCUUGUAUAUGUAAGUAACUAGUUUUCCCCACCUGCUACUAGUACUCCUUUUGGGCAUCUUUAUUAUUCACUUUUUAUUUAUUCCUUUUUAGAUAUGCAUGAUAGUAUAAUAAGUCCAGAAACUUGCUUUAUUCACACAUGUUCUCAGAGAUCAUCACUUCCCAGCAAGGAGACACAGUCAUGAAGUCUCAAAACUUUAUCCAGAUAUCCCCUGUGACACUGGUACCCCGUAGGAGGCAAACUCAGACUUG